Molecule: long non-coding RNA, 1507 nt
Organism: Carassius auratus (goldfish)
Lineage: Eukaryota; Metazoa; Chordata; Actinopteri; Cypriniformes; Cyprinidae
Exons: 5
Source: RefSeq, a predicted model, not a curated record
UGUUACGCAUUUAAGCCUAAUAUGAGCGAAACAAAGUCCAAUUGAAAUUCAUUCAUUCAUUAAAAACGAUCAUUCAUCGAAGUAAUUAACAUCCCCGAUGAUAAACACGGGAACAAUACUCUAAUCAGCGGCCGGUCUGAGUUUGACUCCCCUCGGUGCUCCGCGUGAACGCGCGCAGCGGGCCUGCUGGGCCGUGUGUGGCCAUGGCAACAGGGCGCGCCUAAUUAACGGCGGAAGCCUUCACUUCUCUUCUCCCCGUCGGUGUUUCAGCACGGGGCUAAGAUUGGCGCUGGCCCCGGGGUUUGUGGGAACCGGGACAGCCCUUUCACGAAAGCCCUCCUCAGGUCGACAUUAUUACACGGUUAAUUAAGUCGGUUCAACGGGCGCGAGCUCGAGCAAACAGCAGGGGCGAUUGUUUUUCGCUGCCCUCCCCAACUAGCUUGCUAAUUACUCCGUGGACUGCCCCUAACCUGGAUGCAUUCUGAAGGGCUCAGCUGACCCCGUAAUUAAAGCUUGAACCUCCCCAAAAGGAAGUCAGCAAGAAAGGCCCUGAGGUGACCAACUUAAAACAGGUGACUCGUUUUGGAAGCAAAACAAACACAAGAAGGGGAUUUGGGCUGGAGGCAGCUGUGGAUCCUGCACGCUCAGCUGGUGACGCACAAAGAAACAGGUGAUGGUGACGGGAUGUUUGCCCUGCAAGGGUGCCGCCACGUGCUUCUUUCCCCUGGAACGAGCUCUCCCAGUAAAAUCUGCACCUGGCCUGGUGGUCUUGGCAACAUCGGACAACCUCUAGCAGAUGUUCUCCUCUCUUUUGUCGAUGACUUCGCGGUGGCUGCUCUGCAAGACAAAACUGCGGAUCAUCUCAUGGCUUCCUCUGCUGCAGAGAUCAUUAAUGAUGAUGAGGCUUUACUCAGUCACUGGAUCCUGGGUGAAAGUUGCCCUUUGGCUGUGUGACAGACAGGAAGAAAGGGACGCUCAGGCUAGUGUGAAGAUGUUUUUUCCUCACUAAGAGCAGAGUACCCCAGGUCGUUCAAUCUCUACCGUACUGCAUAUUCCUGUUCACCUGACAUUAGGCCCCGGCUCAGUCCCAAAAGCAGCCUGCACCCCGCUGGGUCCAUUCCAUUAUAUACUCCAUGCACACUUUGUCGGUCAUACUAAAAGCCAAGCCUGGGGAGCAAGGAGAGGUUAAAAGGCAUAUGAAAUGGUUUCGCAGCCAGCCAAACUUCCCGAAUCCUCUUCUAUGGAGAGAUGCCAAACCACAGAAGAGAGAAUAAGGGAAGCCAAGAAGAAGAGAAAGAAAGAGCUGAAAGAGAAAAAUAGAGACAGGUGAGGAGUGAAGAGAGACAGAGACUGUGUGUGUUUGGGUCUCUGAAUAGCUCACUUAAUAGAGUUUACAGUUAGAAUAAAUCUAGACCUUAAUUUUGUCUUUUUUUUCUACUUAACAUCGCUUAAGAAAAAAAUGCUGUUUGCAUGUAUUUGCUGAAGGUGAUAAGGUAUAUUUUGAUGC